GGGGCUGUAGCUCAGAUGGUUAGAGUGCCACGUUGACAUCGUGGAGGUCAUGCGUUCGAUUCGCAUCAGCCCCACCA
RNAcentral lists this transfer RNA (77 nucleotides) under Bacillota bacterium. RNAcentral describes it as "tRNA-Val". It matches the Rfam family "tRNA". From Rfam's summary of the family: Transfer RNA (tRNA) molecules are approximately 80 nucleotides in length. Their secondary structure includes four short double-helical elements and three loops (D, anti-codon, and T loops). Lineage: Bacteria; Bacillati; Bacillota. The record is from RNAcentral.